This 234-nucleotide long non-coding RNA is filed under the name Vigna radiata. RNAcentral describes it as "long non-coding RNA (VRAD_LNC005671)". Lineage: Eukaryota; Viridiplantae; Streptophyta; Magnoliopsida; Fabales; Fabaceae. The record is from RNAcentral.
UUGGGGCUACAAUAGCGAUGAUAGAGAAAGUUGGGGCUACAGUAGCGAUGAUAGAGAAAAUGUUGGAGUGAAAAAUAUGAAAGAGAAAUGAUUGAGAGGAACGAGGGAGAUGAACAAAGGUUUAGGAGUUUCUUUUUUAGUUUUAAAAAUGAAAAUUAUUAAAAUACUUUUAACUUUAAAACUUAAAAUCCAUGAUAUAUUAAGGUAUUUUUGUUUAUUAAAAUACGGCACACA